GGAGGCGUGGUGUAGUGGUCUAACAUGUCGGCCUGUCAAGCCGGAGAUCGCGGGUUCGAUCCCCGUCGCCUCCG
RNAcentral lists this transfer RNA (74 nucleotides) under Chloroflexota bacterium. Its description in RNAcentral is "Chloroflexi bacterium (anaerobic digester metagenome) tRNA-Asp". It matches the Rfam family "tRNA". Rfam says of the family: Transfer RNA (tRNA) molecules are approximately 80 nucleotides in length. Their secondary structure includes four short double-helical elements and three loops (D, anti-codon, and T loops). Lineage: Bacteria; Bacillati; Chloroflexota. RNAcentral also lists the same sequence under 1 other name. The record is from RNAcentral.